UAAAGGGAAAAAUACCUUGAAUUUGGGAAAG
This 31-nucleotide non-coding RNA is filed under the name Mus musculus (house mouse). Lineage: Eukaryota; Metazoa; Chordata; Mammalia; Rodentia; Muridae. The record is from RNAcentral.